Molecule: long non-coding RNA, 486 nt
Organism: Xenia sp. Carnegie-2017
Lineage: Eukaryota; Metazoa; Cnidaria; Anthozoa; Malacalcyonacea; Xeniidae
Exons: 2
Source: RefSeq, a predicted model, not a curated record
GUUUUCAACUGUCAUUUAUUUACUGGAACAGUUUUUAUUAAGAAACUUGUAUGGAACUAUCAAAGUAUAUUUAUGAGUUUAGUUUACAAUAUCUAGCUAUUCAGAAGUUAUGAAGUUCCUUAAAAUGAAUGUUGUUGGGUCAUUUUCUUGUAUAAUGAGAGUAAAUACUGAUCUUACAGCAACCACGAUCAUGUAACAUCCCUUUUUGAAAUGCUGAAAAGCCCACAAGAUUUGAUUUACCAUAUAAUUAUUGGAAAUGGACAUGCAGUUGUUGUUAUUUGAUUUAAUCAUACUUGAUUUGGAAACUAGCACUAUAGUUGUCUUUACAAUGUUUUUUUUUUACUUUGGAGAAAGUAUUUAUUUAAUGAUUGAUUCAAUAAUACUUUUUAUAGUUUAAACUAUAAAGACAAUGUAAAGCAAAAGUUAUAAAUAACCUGAAGAAGAAAAAACAGGAUAUCAUUGCCAUAGCAUUGACAGAAGUGAAAA